CCCGCACAAGCGGUGGAGUAUGUGGUUUAAUUCGAUGCAACGCGAAGAACCUUACCUGGUCUUGACAUCCCGGAGACCCUUAGGAAACUAGGGGUGCUUCCAUCUGGAAGAAUCUGGAGACAGGUGCUGCAUGGCUGUCGUCAGCUCGUGUCGUGAGAUGUUGGGUUAAGUCCCGCAACGAGCGCAACCCUUGCCUUUAGUUGCCAGCAGUUCGGCUGGGCACUCUAAAGGGACUGCCGGUGUUAAACCGGAGGAAGGUGGGGAUGACGUCAAGUCCUCAUGGCCUUUAUGACCAGGGCUACACACGUACUACAAUGGCCGAUACAAAGGGCAGCGACACUGCGAGGUGAAGCCAAUCCCGUAAAAUCGGUCUCAGUCCGGAUUGGAGUCUGCAACUCGACUCCAUGAAGUUGGAAUCGCUAGUAAUCGUGGAUCAGCAUGCCACGGUGAAUACGUUCCCGGGCCUU
Molecule: ribosomal RNA, 467 nt
Filed under: uncultured Desulfobulbus sp.
Lineage: Bacteria; Pseudomonadati; Thermodesulfobacteriota; Desulfobulbia; Desulfobulbales; Desulfobulbaceae
Description: bacterial SSU rRNA
Rfam family: Bacterial small subunit ribosomal RNA
Source: RNAcentral